Molecule: small nucleolar RNA, 73 nt
Organism: Artibeus jamaicensis (Jamaican fruit-eating bat)
Lineage: Eukaryota; Metazoa; Chordata; Mammalia; Chiroptera; Phyllostomidae
Product: small nucleolar RNA SNORD113/SNORD114 family
Exons: 1
Source: RefSeq, a predicted model, not a curated record
UGGACAAAUGAUGGUGACUGGUGGCAUAUGAGUCGUGGGUGGUGAAUGCUGUGUCAGGAACUCUGUGGUCCAA